GGGUACGGGGAUUAGGGUUCGAUUCCGGAGAGGGAGCCUGAGAAACGGCUACCACAUCUAAGGAAGGCAGCAGGCGCGCAAAUUACCCAAUCCUAAUACAGGGAGGUAGUGACAAGAAAUAACAAUACAGGACUUUUUGGUUUUGUAAUUGGAAUGAGUUAAGUAUAAACCCCUUUACAAGUAUCAAUUGGAGGGCAAGUCUGGUGCCAGCAGCCGCGGUAAUUCCAGCUCCAAUAGCGUAUAUUAAAGUUGUUGCAGUUAAAAAGCUCGUAGUUGGAUUUCUGUUAAUAAUUUAUAUAAAAUAUUUUGAUGAAUAUUUAUAUAAUAUUAACAUAAUUCAUAUUACUAUAUAUUUUAGUAUAUGAAAUUUUACUUUGAGAAAAUUAGAGUGCUUAAAGCAGGCAUAUGCCUUGAAUACUCCAGCAUGGAAUAAUAUUAAAGAUUUUUAUCUUUCUUAUUGGUUCUAAGAUAAGAAUAAU
This 479-nucleotide ribosomal RNA is filed under the name Cryptosporidium parvum. RNAcentral describes it as "SSU rRNA". It matches the Rfam family "Eukaryotic small subunit ribosomal RNA", at positions 357 to 866 of the family's 1831-position model. Lineage: Eukaryota; Apicomplexa; Conoidasida; Eucoccidiorida; Cryptosporidiidae. The record is from RNAcentral.